Molecule: ribosomal RNA, 1370 nt
Filed under: uncultured bacterium
Lineage: Bacteria
Description: bacterial SSU rRNA
Rfam family: Bacterial small subunit ribosomal RNA
Source: RNAcentral
AGAGUUUGAUCCUGGCUCAGGACGAACGCUGGCGGCGCGCCUAACACAUGCAAGUCGAACGAGCGAGAAAGAGCUUGCUUUCUCGAGCGAGUGGCGAACGGGUGAGUAACGCGUGAGGAACCUGCCUCAAAGAGGGGGACAACAGUUGGAAACGACUGCUAAUACCGCAUAAGCCCACGGGUCGGCAUCGACCAGAGGGAAAAGGAGCAAUCCGCUUUGAGAUGGCCUCGCGUCCGAUUAGCUAGUUGGUGAGGUAACGGCCCACCAAGGCGACGAUCGGUAGCCGGACUGAGAGGUUGAACGGCCACAUUGGGACUGAGACACGGCCCAGACUCCUACGGGAGGCAGCAGUGGGGAAUAUUGCACAAUGGGGGAAACCCUGAUGCAGCGACGCCGCGUGGAGGAAGAAGGUCUUCGGAUUGUAAACUCCUGUUGUUGAGGAAGAUAAUGACGGUACUCAACAAGGAAGUGACGGCUAACUACGUGCCAGCAGCCGCGGUAAAACGUAGGUCACAAGCGUUGUCCGGAAUUACUGGGUGUAAAGGGAGCGCAGGCGGGAAGACAAGUUGGAAGUGAAAUCCAUGGGCUCAACCCAUGAACUGCUUUCAAAACUGUUUUUCUUGAGUAGUGCAGAGGUAGGCGGAAUUCCCGGUGUAGCGGUGGAAUGCGUAGAUAUCGGGAGGAACACCAGUGGCGAAGGCGGCCUACUGGGCACCAACUGACGCUGAGGCUCGAAAGUGUGGGUAGCAAACAGGAUUAGAUACCCUGGUAGUCCACACCGUAAACGAUGAUUACUAGGUGUUGGAGGAUUGACCCCUUCAGUGCCGCAGUUAACACAAUAAGUAAUCCACCUGGGGAGUACGACCGCAAGGUUGAAACUCAAAGGAAUUGACGGGGGCCCGCACAAGCAGUGGAGUAUGUGGUUUAAUUCGACGCAACGCGAAGAACCUUACCAAGUCUUGACAUCCCUUGACGAUGCUGGAAACAGUAUUUCUCUUCGGAGCAAGGAGACAGGUGGUGCAUGGUUGUCGUCAGCUCGUGUCGUGAGAUGUUGGGUUAAGUCCCGCAACGAGCGCAACCCUUAUGGUCAGUUACUACGCAAGAGGACUCUGGCCAGACUGCCGUUGACAAAACGGAGGAAGGUGGGGAUGACGUCAAAUCAUCAUGCCCUUUAUGACUUGGGCUACACACGUACUACAAUGGCGUUAAACAAAGAGAAGCAAGACCGCGAGGUGGAGCAAAACUCAGAAACAACGUCCCAGUUCAGACUGCAGGCUGCAACUCGCCUGCACGAAGUCGGAAUUGCUAGUAAUCGUGGAUCAGCAUGCCACGGUGAAUACGUUCCCGGGCCUUGUACUCACCGCCCGUCA